GAUGAACGCUGGCGGCGUGCCUAAUACAUGCAAGUCGAGCGAACAGACGAGGAGCUUGCUCCUCUGACGUUAGCGGCGGACGGGUGAGUAACACGUGGAUAACCUACCUAUAAGACUGGGAUAACUUCGGGAAACUGGAGCUAAUACCGGAUAAUAUAUUGAACCGCAUGGUUCAAUAGUGAAAGACGGUUUUGCUGUCACUUAUAGAUGGAUCCGCGCCGCAUUAGCUAGUUGGUAAGGUAACGGCUUACCAAGGCAACGAUGCGUAGCCGACCUGAGAGGGUGAUCGGCCACACUGGAACUGAGACACGGUCCAGACUCCUACGGGAGGCAGCAGUAGGGAAUCUUCCGCAAAGGGCGAAAGCCUGAUGGAGCAACGCCGCGUGAGUGAUGAAGGUCUUCGGAUCGUAAAACUCUGUUAUUAGGGAAGAACAAAUGUGUAAGUAACUAUGCACGUCUUGACGGUACCUAAUCAGAAAGCCACGGCUAACUACGUG
This 497-nucleotide ribosomal RNA is filed under the name uncultured bacterium. RNAcentral describes it as "partial 16S ribosomal RNA". It matches the Rfam family "Bacterial small subunit ribosomal RNA", at positions 28 to 507 of the family's 1533-position model. The record is from RNAcentral.